GUCAACAGCCAUACCACACUGAAUGGGCUGGAUCUCGUCUGAUCUCAGAAGCUAAGCAGGGUCAGGCCUGGUUAAGUACUUGGAUGGGAGAAAGAGAAAAAGAAAGAGGGCUGGAGAGC
This 119-nucleotide ribosomal RNA is filed under the name Jaculus jaculus (lesser Egyptian jerboa). The record is from RNAcentral. Lineage: Eukaryota; Metazoa; Chordata; Mammalia; Rodentia; Dipodidae.